Molecule: ribosomal RNA, 442 nt
Filed under: uncultured bacterium
Lineage: Bacteria
Description: partial 16S ribosomal RNA
Rfam family: Bacterial small subunit ribosomal RNA
Source: RNAcentral
CCUACGGGUGGCAGCAGUGGGGAAUAUUGGGCAAUGGGCGCAAGCCUGACCCAGCAACGCCGCGUGAAGGAAGAUGGCUUUCGGGUUGUAAACUUCUUUUGACAGGGAAGAGCAGAAGACGGUACCUGUCCAAUAAGCCACGCCUAACUACGUGCCAGCAGCCGCGGUAUUACGGAGGUGGCAAGCGUUGUCCGGAUUUACUGGGUGUAAAGGGCGUGUAGCCGGGCUGACAAGUCAGAUGUGAAAUCCGGGGGCUCAACCCCCGAACUGCAGUUGAAACUGGUGGGCUUGAGUAUCGGAGAGGCAGGCGGAAUUCGUAGUGUAGCGGUGAAAUGCGUAGAUAUUAGGAGGAACACCAGUGGCGAAGGCGGCCUGCUGGACUGCAACUGACGUUGAGGCCCGAAAGCGUGGGGAGCAAACAGGAUUAGAUACCCGGGUAGUC